GGGCUCGUAGUCCAGCGGUUAAGACGUCGCUCUCACACAGCGAAGAUCGCCGGUUCGAAUCCGGCCGAGCCCA
RNAcentral lists this transfer RNA (73 nucleotides) under Thermoplasmata archaeon. RNAcentral describes it as "tRNA-Val". It matches the Rfam family "tRNA". Rfam says of the family: Transfer RNA (tRNA) molecules are approximately 80 nucleotides in length. Their secondary structure includes four short double-helical elements and three loops (D, anti-codon, and T loops). The record is from RNAcentral. Lineage: Archaea; Methanobacteriati; Thermoplasmatota; Thermoplasmata. RNAcentral also lists the same sequence under 2 other names.